This 182-nucleotide long non-coding RNA is filed under the name Ficedula albicollis (Collared flycatcher). RNAcentral describes it as "lncRNA (ENSFALG00000025303.1)". The record is from RNAcentral. Lineage: Eukaryota; Metazoa; Chordata; Aves; Passeriformes; Muscicapidae.
GGGAUCAUGGGAAUGAAGUCAGGGUAAUGGGAAUGGGGUCAGGGUCAUGGGAAUGGGAUCAUGGGGUCAGUGGGUACAGGGCCUUCCGCAAGCGCAUGAUGCUGGCCGCUUCCGGCCCAACCCGCUGAACAACCCACGGCGACCUUACUACUGAGGAGAGUUUUUCCCACCAGAUUUCCUGG